This 254-nucleotide ribosomal RNA is filed under the name uncultured bacterium. RNAcentral's name for it is "partial 16S ribosomal RNA". It matches the Rfam family "Bacterial small subunit ribosomal RNA", at positions 526 to 779 of the family's 1533-position model. The record is from RNAcentral.
CGUAGGUGGCAAGCGUUGUCCGGAUUUAUUGGGCGUAAAGCGAGCGCAGGCGGUUUCUUAAGUCUGAUGUGAAAGCCCCCGGCUCAACCGGGGGAGGGUCAUUGGAAACUGGGAGACUUGAGUGCAGAAGAGGAGAGUGGAAUUCCAUGUGUAGCGGUGAAAUGCGUAGAUAUAUGGAGGAACACCAGUGGCGAAGGCGGCUCUCUGGUCUGUAACUGACGCUGAGGCUCGAAAGCGUGGGAGCGAACAGGAUU